Molecule: ribosomal RNA, 26 nt
Filed under: Helosis cayennensis var. cayennensis
Lineage: Eukaryota; Viridiplantae; Streptophyta; Magnoliopsida; Santalales; Balanophoraceae
Description: partial 26S ribosomal RNA
Source: RNAcentral
UAACCCCAUGUGAGGUGAGAUUACCC